UGUCACAGCGGUGGAUGUGGUGAUUAGGA
RNAcentral lists this non-coding RNA (29 nucleotides) under Mus musculus (house mouse). The record is from RNAcentral. Lineage: Eukaryota; Metazoa; Chordata; Mammalia; Rodentia; Muridae.